Long non-coding RNA from Oncorhynchus tshawytscha (Chinook salmon), 399 nucleotides. The record is from Ensembl. Lineage: Eukaryota; Metazoa; Chordata; Actinopteri; Salmoniformes; Salmonidae.
GAGGGAAGUCAAAGAGGGGUGAGGUGGUAAACCAUGGGGACAGGGCCCAACAUUUAGAGGGGUGAGGUGGUAAACCAUGGGGACAGGGCCCAACAUUUAGAGGGGUGAGGUGGUAAACCAUGGGGACAGGGCCCAACAUUUAGAGGGGUGAGGUGGUAAUACAUGGGGACAGAGCCCAACAUUUAGAGGGAAAUCAAAGAGGGGUGAGGUGGUAAACCAUGGGGACAGAGCCCAACAUUUAGAGGGGCGCGGUGGUAAUACAUGGGGACAGGGUCCAACAUUUAGAGGGAAGUCAAAGAGGGGCGCGGUGGUAAACCAUGGGGACAGAGCCCAACCUGUCCCACGCCUCCCUCUAACGACCGCUAGAUGUGUGUGUGUUCUAAUCGCAUUUCAUUAGUG